RNAcentral lists this unclassified non-coding RNA (1947 nucleotides) under Bactrocera latifrons. RNAcentral's name for it is "uncharacterized LOC108965905, transcript variant X1". The record is from RNAcentral. Lineage: Eukaryota; Metazoa; Arthropoda; Insecta; Diptera; Tephritidae.
GCAACAUAAAAAUAUAAAAUAAUUAUUAUUGUUAAGCAUUCAACCUUAAAUUUAAAUGACGAAAUUAGCGCAUGCGUUGACCUGCCUACAUCUAUUACUAUUUAACUGACAUGUGUAACACCGUCAACGCUUUCAUUUUCUACACACACUAUUUCCCCUUGACCGCUACGGGUGUAUGAGGCAUGUGGCGACAAAAUAAUCGAUCCAAUUGCUCAAAAUAAAGAUUGUCACUUGAACAUUAAACCACAUCACGGAACGUACGCAACGUCAUUUUAUUUACGCUUAACUCCAAAUAUAUCAAAACUAAACUGCAAUUUCGGAAUGGCUGAAGGCACCUACGAAUACGAGUGUAUGAGAGCAGAAUUGUUAGGCAUAGAAAAGCCUAAUGAGGAGGAAUUCGAGAAGGCGCGGGCCGAGCGUUUGAAACGUGAACAAGAGGAAUUAGAGGCCGCCGAGGCUGCGCUUCUAGAACAGCAGGAAGACCAAAUGCGUAAUGUAGGUGGGCGUUUGGAUGAGUUGAACACAAUAUUAUCAUCGACACAACAGAAAUUAAAUCGCUUCAAGCAAACAGCUUGUGGUAGUCUAUCAAAUAUAUUUGCGAGAGGCUCAGUAGAUUUGCCAGAUGGUACACCAUCCUCCUCCGCAACUGCUAGUCGACGUAAUACCACCGCAACGGGAGGCAGCAUUAGUGGUCAACAUAAUGAUGAGAAGAACGACUCCGACACAAAUAGUACGCAGGAUCUUGGUAAUGUGCGAGAUCAGGAAUUUGAAGGUGAAAUAAAACCUAUCAUACCAACGGAGAAAAUUAGGACAGCGAAGAUGGAUAUACAGAAAAAAAUGACUUCACACUUAGACAAAUUAGACUCGUUAAUUAACAAGGCCGACAAUGCGGAAAUUUCAAUGUCGGAACAAUCAAAACAAAUGAGCCGUAUGGCAAAGUAAAGUAAGAAUGAGUUAAUAGGGAUGCAAACUAAUAGAAUAGCAAAAUACAUAUGAGAGAAUAACUAUUCUUAUUUAAAGCUUAGAGACAGUUGCGAAGAAACUAAUUUAAGUAUAUUCAAAUAUCUGUAUUAUUAAUUUGUGUAUAUUCCCCAAAAAAUAUUCAAAAUAUCGGUGGCAAAAGAAGAUUAAUAGCAUUGAUGGCAGAAAAAAUAAGAAGCAAAUUGGUAACCUUUGGUUAAAUAUUAUUUUGUCUGCUUGAGCAAUAACAACAAAGUGAAGAAAAUAAUUUACUAGUUAAUUAAAGGCUUCUAAAGUAACAAAAAGUAGUUAUAUUUGUAUAAGAUACCCAUAAUAUCAAUAGAAAAAACCUAAAAUCCCCUGUAAUUAAAUAUAGCUAAUUCAAAUAUGACACCAAAGUACUUAAAACAAAAGAAACCUAAACACUUUAAAUGAUUGAAUUAUGAUGACACCUAAAGAUUGAAUCACACAUAAUUGUAUUUCGAAAAUUUUAAACAGUUUGACGGCAUACAUAACAAACCAGUAACGACAGCAUUUUUAUUAAAUUUUCUUUGUUUUCAAUUUUCUCCUAAAAUUUUGCAAACAUAUUCGCGCACAGAAGAUUUCGCUUAUUUACAUUUUUCUGUAAUCGCUUGAAGGAAUCGAGUAAAUUCCCAACUAUUAUAAAAGAGCACACCACAAAAACAAAAGCCAUGCAAUCUGGAGGCGGCGGUGAUCCUCCGAAUACGCCGAAACAGCAUGAUUGUCAACCUCUGGCACGAACAAAAUAUCAUUGCCUAAGAAUAUAUCUGGGAAAUUAUGAAUAAUUAAUGUUAGAGAUUAAAAAUUAUCAAGUCUCUUAAAUUGUUACAAUUAAAAUUAUACCCUCCUGAUUGUGUAAAGAUUUUAAAGACAAAUCAUACUAGUAAAUGUUAAUUACAAUCUUAGCCAAGUAAGCGUAUUGCAAGUUCUUGAACAUAAAUAAAAAAGGAUAUAAGUAUAUACAUA